CCUAGGAGAGCAAACUCCGAACAACAAACCCGGGCAGGUGGAGCUCGUCAGCCGUGGUAGGCAAUCUGCCUAGGAGAGCAAACUCCGAACAACAAACCCGGGCAGGUGGAGCUCGUCAGCCGUGGUAGGCAAUCUGCCUAGGAGAGCAAACUCCGAACAAUAAACCCGGGCAGGUGGAGGUCGUCAGCCGUGGUAGGCAGUCUGCCUAGGAGAGCAAACUCCGAACAAUAAACCCGGGCAGGUGGAGGUCGUCAGCCGUGGUAGGCAAUUCACCUAGGAGAGCAAACUCCGAACAAUAAACCCGGGCAGGUGGAGGUCGUCAGCCGUGGUAGGCAAUUCACCUAGGAGAGCAAACUCCGAACAAUAAACCCGGGCAGGUGGAGGUCGUCAGCCGUGGUAGGCAAUCUGCCUAGGAGAGCAAACUCUAAAUAAACCCGGGCAGGUGGUGCUCGUUAUACUGUCGUAGACAAUCCACGCGAUGGGAACACCAAAGAAAAGGAAAAUAAAAAAGAACACCAGAAAAAUGGAAAAUACAGAAACGAAACAUCAAGAAAAGAAACAAAAAGAUCAUCCACCUUUAGGCCCUAACAUCGCCAAAAUUAUGGGUGGGUCUCUUCUGGGGAGAAAGCGGCUCACCCAGACCAAAGAACAUCAACAAGGGAUGAUAUAGAAAAGAACACCAAAAAAAUAUGGAAAAAGAACAGAAAAAAACAUCGAAAAAGAAAAGCAACAGAAAUAAAUAAGCAACAUCGAGAAAAGAGAAAUACAAAGAAACAUCAUCCACCUUUCAUUUAAACAACAUCACCAAAAUUAUGGAUGGGUCUCUUCUGGGAGGAAAGCGGCUCAUCCAGACCAAGGAACAUCAACAAAAGGAUGAUGGGAAAAAAAUAACAACAAAAAACAUCAAAAAGAAGUAAAAAGAAAAAGAACAGGAAAACAUCGAAAAAGAAAACAAAAGCAAUAAAAAGAACGAAAAACACGACAUCAAGAAAAUAAAAUAAAACAAAC
This is a long non-coding RNA of Eriocheir sinensis (Chinese mitten crab), 1008 nucleotides long. RefSeq lists it as uncharacterized. NCBI's taxonomy places the organism in Eukaryota, Metazoa, Arthropoda, Malacostraca, Decapoda, Varunidae. The transcript is spliced from 2 exons. The record is from RefSeq and is a predicted model, not a curated record.